GCUAUUGUUGCCUUUUUAUAGCCAAAGAAAGCUGAACAUUCACAGCCUCUGCAUUCAAAUAUGGCUGACAAAAUGAUUCAUACUUUGCAUUGCACACAGUACAUCAUUUGAUAAAUAAUAUGAAGCUCUAUUAUUAUAUUUUUGCACAGUUUUCCUUUAGGUGGUGGUGACACAGGCAGACUUGAGCAGUGGGUGGUGAACAUGAGACAGAAGAACUGGAGACCUACACCAUCAUCUCGUCUUUGCAGUGUUCAUUUUGAAGAGCAUGCGUUCACCAUGAACUCAAAGGGAAAUCGUUACCUAAAGACCACAGCUUUCCCUACUCUGUUUCCAAGUCAUCAUUUGAGGACUUCUGAUGCAAAACACAGGAUUUUGGAUAGUUGUGACACCAAGGAGACCAUGAUGCAGCCAGACUGAAGCAGCA
Molecule: non-coding RNA, 424 nt
Organism: Labrus bergylta (ballan wrasse)
Lineage: Eukaryota; Metazoa; Chordata; Actinopteri; Labriformes; Labridae
Source: RefSeq, a predicted model, not a curated record